Molecule: ribosomal RNA, 752 nt
Filed under: uncultured Roseovarius sp.
Lineage: Bacteria; Pseudomonadati; Pseudomonadota; Alphaproteobacteria; Rhodobacterales; Roseobacteraceae
Description: bacterial SSU rRNA
Rfam family: Bacterial small subunit ribosomal RNA
Source: RNAcentral
CUGGCUCAGAACGAACGCUGGCGGCAGGCCUAACACAUGCAAGUCGAGCGAGACCUUCGGGUCUAGCGGCGGACGGGUUAGUAACGCGUGGGAACGUACCCUUCUCUAAGGAAUAGCCACUGGAAACGGUGAGUAAUACCUUAUACGCCCUUCGGGGGAAAGAUUUAUCGGAGAAGGAUCGGCCCGCGUAAGAUUAGAUAGUUGGUGGGGUAAUGGCCUACCAAGUCUACGAUCUUUAGCUGGUUUUANAGGAUGAUCAGCAACACUGGGACUGAGACACGGCCCAGACUCCUACGGGAGGCAGCAGUGGGGAAUCUUAGACAAUGGGCGCAAGCCUGAUCUAGCCAUGCCGCGUGUGUGACGAAGGCCUUAGGGUCGUAAAGCACUUUCGCCUGUGAUGAUAAUGACAGUAGCAGGUAAAGAAACCCCGGCUAACUCCGUGCCAGCAGCCGCGGUAAUACGGAGGGGGUUAGCGUUGUUCGGAAUUACUGGGCGUAAAGCGCACGUAGGCGGAUUGGAAAGUAUGGGGUGAAAUCCCAGGGCUCAACCCUGGAACUGCCUCAUAAACUUCCAGUCUAGAGUUCGAGAGAGGUGAGUGGAAUUCCGAGUGUAGAGGUGAAAUCCGUAGAUAUUCGGGGGAACACCAGUGGCGAAGGCGGCUCACUGGCUCGAUACUGACGCUGAGGUGCGAAAGUGUGGGGAGCAAACAGGAUUAGAUACCCUGGUAGUCCACACCGUAAACGAUGAAUGCC